This 416-nucleotide ribosomal RNA is filed under the name uncultured microorganism. RNAcentral describes it as "bacterial SSU rRNA". It matches the Rfam family "Bacterial small subunit ribosomal RNA", at positions 9 to 431 of the family's 1533-position model. The record is from RNAcentral.
GAGUUUGAUCGUGGCUCAGAUUGAACGCUGGCGGCAUGCCUUACACAUGCAAGUCGAACGGUAACAGGUCUUCGGACGCUGACGAGUGGCGAACGGGUGAGUAAUACAUCGGAACGUGCCCAGUCGUGGGGGAUAACUACUCGAAAGAGUAGCUAAUACCGCAUACGAUCUGAGGAUGAAAGCGGGGGACCUUCGGGCCUCGCGCGAUUGGAGCGGCCGAUGGCAGAUUAGGUAGUUGGUGGGAUAAAAGCUUACCAAGCCGACGAUCUGUAGCUGGUCUGUAGAGGACGACCAGCCACACUGGGACUGAGACACGGCCCAGACUCCUACGGGAGGCAGCAGUGGGGAAUUUUGGACAAUGGGCGAAAGCCUGAUCCAGCAAUGCCGCGUGCAGGAUGAAGGCCUCGGUUGUAACU